This 29-nucleotide non-coding RNA is filed under the name Mus musculus (house mouse). The record is from RNAcentral. Lineage: Eukaryota; Metazoa; Chordata; Mammalia; Rodentia; Muridae.
UGUGCCUCUGUCAACUCUUGUUUUUGGAA